GAGUUUGAUCUUGGCUCAGAUUGAACGCUGGCGGCAUGCCUUACACAUGCAAGUCGAACGGCAGCAUGAUCUAGCUUGCUAGAUUGAUGGCGAGUGGCGAACGGGUGAGUAAUACAUCGGAACGUGCCCUGUAGUGGGGGAUAACUAGUCGAAAGAUUAGCUAAUACCGCAUACGACCUGAGGGUGAAAGUGGGGGACCGCAAGGCCUCAUGCUAUAGGAGCGGCCGAUGUCUGAUUAGCUAGUUGGUGGGUAAAGGCCCACCAAGGCGACGAUCAGUAGCUGGUCUGAGAGGACGAUCAGCCACACUGGGACUGAGACACGGCCCAGACUCCUACGGGAGGCAGCAGUGGGGAAUUUUGGACAAUGGGCGAAAGCCUGAUCCAGCAAUGCCGCGUGUGUGAAGAA
This 406-nucleotide ribosomal RNA is filed under the name uncultured microorganism. RNAcentral's name for it is "bacterial SSU rRNA". It matches the Rfam family "Bacterial small subunit ribosomal RNA", at positions 9 to 412 of the family's 1533-position model. The record is from RNAcentral.